CAAUAGCGUAUAUUAAAGUUGUUGCAGUUAAAAAGCUCGUAGUUGAAUUUCUGGCGGGCGCGCCGGUCUUCCAAGUGUUGUACUGGGCGCAGUCCGCCAUCCUUGUGGAGAGGGCUCGCAUUGAGUUGCGUGUCGGAUCUGCAUCAUUUACUGUGAAAAAAUUAGAGUGUUUAAAGCAGGCUGUCGCUUGAAUACAUUAGCAUGGAAUAAUAAGAUAGGACUUCGGUCUAUUUUGUUGGUUGCGAACCGAGGUAAUGAUUAAUAGGGAUAGUUGGGGGUAUUCAUAUUUAAUUGUCAGAGGUGAAAUUCUUGGAUUUAUGAAAGAUGAACAACUGCGAAAGCAUUUACCAAGGAUGUCUUCAUUA
Molecule: ribosomal RNA, 365 nt
Filed under: uncultured eukaryote
Lineage: Eukaryota
Description: partial 18S ribosomal RNA
Rfam family: Eukaryotic small subunit ribosomal RNA
Source: RNAcentral